GACGAGCUCUCCAAACGUUAUUCGGUAUCACUGGGCUUAAAGAGUUCGUAGGCGGCUUGACAGGUGAGGUGUGAAAGCCCACGGCCUAACCGUGGAAUUGCGCUUCAAACCGUCGGGCUAGAGGGAUGCAGGGGUAUGCGGAACAGAUGGUGGAGCGGUGAAAUGCGUUGAUAUCAUCUGGAACACCGGUGGCGAAAGCGGCAUACUGGGCAUUUUCUGACGCUGAGGAACGAAAGCUAGGGUAGCGAACGGGAUUAGAUACCCCGGUAGUCCUAGCCGUAAACGAUGAGCACUAGUCUGGGGGGACCCUCACAUCCUCCCGGACGUAGCGAAAGUGUUAAGUGCUCCGCCUGGGGAGUAUGGUCGCAAGGCUGAA
This 376-nucleotide ribosomal RNA is filed under the name uncultured bacterium. RNAcentral's name for it is "bacterial SSU rRNA". It matches the Rfam family "Bacterial small subunit ribosomal RNA", at positions 524 to 898 of the family's 1533-position model. The record is from RNAcentral.